This 586-nucleotide ribosomal RNA is filed under the name uncultured bacterium. Its description in RNAcentral is "partial 16S ribosomal RNA". It matches the Rfam family "Bacterial small subunit ribosomal RNA", at positions 355 to 1375 of the family's 1533-position model. The record is from RNAcentral.
UGGGGAAUUUUGGACAAUGGGCGAAAGCCUGAUCCAGCAAUGCCGCGUGUGUGAAGAAGGCCUUCGGGUUGUAAAGCACUUUUGUCCGGAAAGAAAUCCUUGGCUCUAAUACAGUCGGGGGAUGACGGUACCGGAAGAAUAAGCACCGGCUAACUACGUGCCAGCAGCCGCGGUAAUACGUAGGGUGCAAGCGUUAAUCGGAAUUACUGGGCGUAAAGCGUGCGCAGGCGGUUUGCUAAGACCGAUGUGAAAUCCCCGGGCUCAACCUGGGAACUGCAUUGGUGACUGGCAGGCUAGAGUAUGGCAGAGGGGGGUUAGAAUUCCACGUGUAGCAGUGAAAUGCGUAGAGAUGUGGAGGAAUACCGAUGGCGAAGGCAGCCCCCUGGGCCAAUACUGACGCUCAUGCACGAAAGCGUGGGGAGCAAACAGGAUUAGAUACCCUGGUAGUCCACGCCCUAAACGAUGUCAACUAGUUGUUGGGGAUUCAUUUCCUUAGUAACGUAGCUAACGCGUGAGGUUGACCGCCUGGGGAGUACGGUCGCAAGAUUAAAACUCAAAUGAAUUGACGGGGUCAUAGCUGUUUCCU